GCGGAGCUGUGUAUCACGAAGAACCGGAGAACGGUUGGCGAGUCUGGAUGAGAGGACGGCGGCGGAGUCACUGUGGACGUUGUUCGCUCAGCAGGUUAGAGUGUGGGACUCAAAGCUUUUUUCCCCCGUCCGUCGUGUCUUUUCCUGUGUGAACUCUGCCGCUCUCAACAGCAGCACUGGCUAUGAGCUAGCUCCUGCUACCUCCAACGAAGCAUCUCUCAACUGCUACGUAAGUUAAACGGACACUUCUGACUGACUGUGAUGAUAAGCAAAAGAGACACUGUGGAUGUGUGAUGUGUUGUACUGCAUUUGUUUGAUCUGUUUACUAAUACUAGCUCUAAUAAAUACUGUAUAAAUUAUAUUUUGCUCCUGAAUUGAACUGUGUUAAAGGGGUUCACAUGGAAAAUAUAUGUUCAAUUAUGUAAAGGGUGAUUUUUGUUACUAUUAUACUAAUGGAGAUUUAGCACUUGCUACACAUUGUAAGAGCAGCUGUUCAAAGGAGCACUACGUCUUUUAAGGCUCUUUAUUCAGAGUCACGGUGUUGAUGUCCUGUCACGUGUUACAGUGAAAAAUAACCGUGUCUCCCACCUUCAGUAUUUAAAUCGUUAAUCUCAGACAGACUUCACUGAAUUCUUUUGUUAAAUAUGAGUAAGUCAUAGCCUUGUAACUUUACUAGAACAGACAGUGUCAUACAGAGUUGUGGGUUUAUAUGCACUACCUAUUUCCUAAUCUGAAAUGAUUAUGCUCUGAUUAACUUUGAACUAAUAUUUUAUUUUUACCAUUUAAAAGUCUGUUAAUUACUUAACCUGGCCCAUGUAUGACUUUACAUAUCUGUGUAUUGGUUUCAUGUUCCUCUAGAAGGUCCAACUUGACACACAACUUGAAUCCAACCAGACUGAACACUGACUCCAGGGACAGACGAGCCUGAAGGACACAGCUGUGAUGACCAUGUUCUGUCUCUUAUGGCAAAGCAGAAAUAUAAAACACUGGGUUCUUAUCUAAAGUGUAUCAAAUCAGAUCUCCACCAUGUUGCUGCUGAGGACAUCAGUUGUCUUCCAGUUGACCAGCAUGAAGCUGCAGAUCUCCACCAUGUUGCUGCUGGGGACAUCAGGAGCUGCAUUAAUGAGGAGCAGAAGCGUACUGUUAUGAAUGUUUUGUGUUGUUUAUGAAGCACUACUUAUUUCAGCUAGAACCGAUGUACUAGGGUCUGGGUUUGUAUCCUAAUGGUUAAAUGCACAUACUUUAAAUCGCUUUUGAUAAAACGUGACAAAGAAAUACAACAUUGUACACAUAGAUAAAAUGUCUUUCUACCUCAUCUGUAAUAUUCAAGGUGAUGAUCUCCCACAGAGCUGUUGAUAACAGUCCACAUCAAGUCUCUCCACUUCCCUCAGUGUGAAAACAUAAUUAUAUAAUUAAUUGGAGAAGUGUUUACAACACUGAUGUGUGGACAUUAUAAUCUUAUCACUACUGUCUAAUUCACUCUACAACUCCAUGACAGACUAAAUAAACGAUGUGAAAAUAGUAAUGGCGGAUAUACCAUCCUGUAUCAGAAUAUUGGUGAAACAGUUACUAUCACAUGAAACGUACACGUGUAGCGUAUUGAUAGUAACUCAUUAAAAAAAAUAAUGUCACAACCAA
Molecule: long non-coding RNA, 1638 nt
Organism: Platichthys flesus (European flounder)
Lineage: Eukaryota; Metazoa; Chordata; Actinopteri; Pleuronectiformes; Pleuronectidae
Exons: 3
Source: RefSeq, a predicted model, not a curated record